GUUGGCUAUAAUAAGCUAACCAUCACUAUAUAACCGUAACAAUGUGAAUUAUUGAUGGUAGCUAAAGGCUAUAUGUUGUAUUGUCUUCAUUGGUUUCACUUUUAUUUCUUUAGGAAAAGGAGAUGGCCAAAGGAAAAGCAAAGAUCGACAGCAGUGGUAAAGGAGAUGCUAUAACAUCUAACUUUGAUGUGAUGAACAGAAACAAUAUAAGUGAUUCACACGUGAGAAUAUUAAUGAUAAAGUGAUGCAAUUGUAUAUUAAGUAGAAUUUACCAUUUAGUUUCAAAUGCUGUCUUUCAAAAAAGAAUUAUAAUCAAAUUUCAGUGUACAGUUGCACAUUAAAGUUUAUUUUUUAAAUAACAUCAAUCAAAAAGACUUUGAUGUGCUACAGCUGAACAGAAACAAUAUAUGAUUUGAUAUUUUUUUAAAGACCUAAAUUUAAAACUUUAUUAUCAACUUUAUUGAUAUAAAAUUGCUUCAGUUUAUCACUAAAACACUCAUUUUAAGUGGAAAUUAAUUAAUUUAGUUGGUCCUUAUGUGUCAAGUCAGCUUAGCUCCACCGCAGCCUCGGUCACUCAGGUCAAGGAAGAGGGAAUGUCCAAGUGAUGAAAUCUCAGAGACUGAUGAUGUCCCGGCUACUCUCCAUCAUCAGGGCGGAAACUGAAGUCCACUCUGCUGCCACCACCUCAGAUGGGACCGCCACUGCGUCUGAUUCAGACUGCUCAAAGGGAAAGAGUUGUGAGGCUGAAGAAGUCAUAGUGCCUGGUUCAGAGCAAAACGGGGACACAAAGUUAGAUCCACCACUUGCAGAAGAGGAACACGAGGGACGCACGGCUGAGACUGUGGCUGAAAAACCACUGGAAGAAAUAAAAGACGGGGAAGAUGGGUCAGCAGCAGGAGUAGACCAAAGUCCUGCCAUCACUUUUUACUCUAAUCCGACUCAAAAUGAGGAUACUGAGAGCGGGGAUGCGAUCGAGGCUGCCCUUCUGCAGGUGAAUAGUGUGAGCAGGACAAGUGAGAAGAAGGAAGAGUUGACCCGGGAUGCUGGGGACGGGGAUGGAGCAGAGGCAGCGUCAUCCACACACACCCAGUCAGGAGGAUUCAAUGGUGUGGAGCUCUGCGAGGCUGCAGCGACACCCAGUGGCUCAGAGGGGAAAGACAGAUGUGAGUGUGAUGAUGAGCGCGGUGCUGGUUCUACUGUGAACGCUGAGCCUCCUCAGACCAGGGACACCGCUGACCCGUUCGGAUUUGGGUGCUUGGAUUACGUGUCAGACUCGCAGCUGAACACCAUCGUUCUGAGUGAGGUGGAGAAAGAGGAAGAUCUUGGUUCUCCAGAUCAUGAAGAUGCUACAGACCUGAUCUGUGGACUCGUCAGAGAACUCUCCUCUCUAAAUCGUAAGGUCAUGGCCUCUCACCGAGAGCUGGAGAACCUGCGCCGUAGCAGUAAAAGUUCAAGGAGCUCCAUACGUUGAGGAUCAAGUCCCUGCCAUCCUGAUCUUCACUGUUGCCCCAAUGGUUUGUGGGUAAUUAAAAAACUUGUGUACAAAUGUUUAAAUAUUUCACUCUUGUGUCAUUGACGGCUGGAAUGUUUAAUGUCUUAAGUUUUUCUGGUUCUCCCCAAAUAAAGCUGGGUGUUUAUGAAGUCAGUAAUCUGAGUAUUAUUCUGGAAGUAUUAACCAUCAUUAGUUAAACACCAAGAGGGAAAUGCACCCCAUGUGGCUGGCUCAAAUUCUUGUCAAAUAAAUAAAUGUGUGAUGCAACAAAGAAUACACACACACAGAUGUUGUCAAUUUACAUAUUUAUAACUUCUGACAUGCAAUAAUAUUCACACACACACACACACACAUUUCUUUUCACAGAGUCAGAAGAGCUGAAAUGGCAUUUUAAGAGCCACAGUUACUUAAAAUAAAAUAACACGCCUUGGGAACAGGCAUUUACUCUACACCUCAGAACAGGAACAAGUCACUCAUAUUUCUUAAAAAAUUUAAAAUGCUGACAUGGUCACAUGAUGUUUUCUAUGCUGUGGUAAAGUUAUUACUGAUGACUGACUCUUAGAAAGGGUUGACAGUGUUAUAAUCCUUCAAUGCAUGGACAGGAGAUAUGAAACUGGACAUCAAGUGGCCACGUUUUAAAAGUAUGUAAAAUAAAAAAGGCAUGUUUCUUUGAAUCAUGUCUUUUUCUUUGAAACAUGUCUUUUUUUCCCCCCUCUCCUCCCAAACAUAAUAUCGGGCGGUCGUUCUUGACUUACUCAGAAUCCCAAACUGACGCCGUUAGGCUCGGCCGACAAAAAGACCAGCUGGAAAAUAACUCCAAUCAGCUUUAUAGAAGGCUACACGGCAAACGUGCCAAAGCAUGCAAAUGAAAAACAAACCACAGAUACACGUGCUAAUAAACAAAACCACAUUAAUAAAUGGACGAUUCAGCCUUCUGUGUCUUAUUGCUACCUGCCACCUGUUGGAUCAGCGUCUGCACUUUGCGUACACGGAGCUGUACGCGCUGUCCACCUUCGGACAGAAGCGCUUGGUGUGAGCUUUGGCCCCCGUGGCUCCGCACAGAGGACACACAUACUGCCGCAGAUACGGACACAAAACGUCUCCGGCCUGGUUCUUCAGCCAGUGGGAUCCGCACACAAAGUGGGACUCUCCGUUGUGCUUGCAGAAACUGCAGAACAUACGCUCAGGCGACGCAGGUAACAAUGGCGGCUCCGGGGUUUUCAAAAGAGCGGUUUUCUUGUAGUCUUUUGGUCCCCUGGAGCCCGUCGGUCUUUGCCCUAGCUUCACACCCAGCAUAUCUGGGGCGUCAGUGCGAAAAGGGUCUGUAGCGUACCACAAACCAUCAGUUGGACGCUGAUGAGCCAAAGAGCCCGGGAGCGUAGAGUCACGGGAGGGAUCUAGUGCACAAUCUGCCCCGAGGGCGCCGCUAUGGCUACCUGCGUUAAUGCGCACAGACGUCAGUGCCUCGCACAGACCAUCGGACUCUGAUUGCGGAGCUUUUGAGGCUGACAGGGACUCAGUAGUUGUGUGCCGGGCCAGGAUUUCUCUGAUCGUGUCCGACAGUCCUAUGUAGUCUCUCCAGGGCUGGAAACUGUUGCGGUCUGACUCCAUGAAGCACGGCAGGUGAUUAAAGAGUCCCCAAACCAUGCCGUUCAUUCUAGCUUCUGUCGGCCAAAGGUUUUCGUCUCGUCUGCCAGGCUCCUCUUUCAGUGAGACGAUCGACUUGUUGACUUUGUAAUAGCGACGUGAAGGACAACAGCAGACAAACGGUGCAGAGCGCGUGUAACAAAGUUUUUGAAGUAAUUGGUAAUUGCUUACAAGUGGUGAUCAGAGGCGCCAUACCCCCCCCCCCCCUCCGCGUGCCAGUAGCCAAUCAGGUAAGCUCAUGCACCGUGCGUGCGGGGCCAUGCUAUUCUGCCCCCUCAUGCACAGUUACCUGCCUGUUUGCAAACCAAUAUGUUUUAGGUUUCAGCUUUUUAGGUUGUGUUUCUAAUGUUUUCGUUAAAUGAGCAGUGUGGUGACGUAAAGCUUAA
Long non-coding RNA from Cottoperca gobio, 3525 nucleotides. The record is from Ensembl. NCBI's taxonomy places the organism in Eukaryota, Metazoa, Chordata, Actinopteri, Perciformes, Bovichtidae.